Molecule: ribosomal RNA, 1455 nt
Filed under: Metapolybia decorata
Lineage: Eukaryota; Metazoa; Arthropoda; Insecta; Hymenoptera; Vespidae
Description: partial large subunit ribosomal RNA
Rfam family: Eukaryotic large subunit ribosomal RNA
Source: RNAcentral
AAGCUGAGAACCCGAACGAUCGAAUGGGAAGAUUCAGCGUCAGCGGCGUUCGGCGUCGUCGUCGUGCACUUCUUCCCUAGUAGAACGUCGCGACCCGUUGGGUGCCGGUCACGCGGCAGACCCUCGUUAACCCGGCCGGCUGCCCGGCGGUCGAACAUAAGGUAUCUUGCCGCAAUUUAAAUGCGUCGGGCCCGUCGCAAGCGAGGUCAGGGACCCGGUGCCGUACCCGCGGCUGGCCGGCUGUUGGCAGACGGAGUCCUUCGACGGGCAAUACACACCGAUACCGGUCUGCGACGCUACUGCUUUGGGUACUCUCAGGACCCGUCUUGAAACACGGACCAAGGAGUCUAACAUGUGCGCGAGUCAUUGGGACUGCAAGCCUAAAGGCGAAAUGAAAGUGAAGGUCGUCGACCGAGGGAGGAUGGGCCGCGUUUGCGCGCGGCUCCGCACUCCCGGGGCGUCUCGUUCUCAUUGCGAGAAGAGGCGCACCCAGAGCGUACACGUUGGGACCCGAAAGAUGGUGAACUAUGCCUGGUCAGGACGAAGUCAGGGGAAACCCUGAUGGAGGUCCGUAGCGAUUCUGACGUGCAAAUCGAUCGUCGGAACUGGGUAUAGGGGCGAAAGACUAAUCGAACCAUCUAGUAGCUGGUUCCCUCCGAAGUUUCCCUCAGGAUAGCUGGCACUCGUUCGUUUAUAAUAAAGGAGUCUCAUCUGGUAAAGCGAAUGAUUAGAGGCCUUGGGGCCGAAACGACCUCAACCUAUUCUCAAACUUUAAAUGGGUGAGAUCUCUGGCUUGCUUGAAAUAUGAAGCCACGAGAUCGGAUCAGAGUGCCAAGUGGGCCAAUUUUGGUAAGCAGAACUGGCGCUGUGGGAUGAACCAAACGCAAAGUUAAGGCGCCUAAGUCGACGCUUAUGGGAUACCAUGAAAGGCGUUGGUUGCUUAAGACAGCAGGACGGUGGCCAUGGAAGUUGGAAUCCGCUAAGGAGUGUGUAACAACUCACCUGCCGAAGCAACUAGCCCUGAAAAUGGAUGGCGCUGAAGCGUCGCGCCUAUACUCUGCCGUCAGCGGCAAGUGUGGCGGUUAAAAAAUCGCUAUGAAGCCCUGACGAGUAGGAGGGUCGCGGCGGUGUGCGCAGAAGGGUCUGGGCGCGAGCCUGCCUGGAGCCGCCGUCGGUGCAGAUCUUGGUGGUAGUAGCAAAUACUCCAGCGAGGCCCUGGAGGACUGACGUGGAGAAGGGUUUCGUGUGAACAGCCGUUGCACACGAGUCAGUCGAUCCUAAGCCCUAGGAGAAAUCCUAUGUCGAUGACGGUGUGCACACACACCCGUCGGGCGAAAGGGUAUCGGUUCCUAUUCGGGACCCGGCAGCGGACGGCAUGCAUUCGGCCUCGUAGAGUAGUCGUCGGGCUACCCAAUGACUGAGACGCGUCGGUGAUCGGGAGAGUUUUCUUUUCUG